AGCAAUCCACCAUAUGAAGAAGCAAUACAAGAGGUGGGAGCCAACAAGGAUUGGGAGGCUCCAAAUCCCUCACGGAUUUCACUUUCUACUAGAUGGAUUUGGUGGAUCUAAGCCUGUCCUCUCCUCUCUCUAACGCUAGCUCUCUCCCAAGGUGAAGAACAUAACAGAACACUCGGUUCUGAUUCGAGUUGGGGCUGCCCCUUAAAAUGGCAGACUUGUAAAGAGACCCUAGAGUUGCAGAUUAUCA
This 247-nucleotide long non-coding RNA is filed under the name Setaria italica (foxtail millet). RNAcentral describes it as "long non-coding RNA (SITA_LNC001013)". Lineage: Eukaryota; Viridiplantae; Streptophyta; Magnoliopsida; Poales; Poaceae. The record is from RNAcentral.